AGAAAGAAAAAUCGAUUCCCUGAGUAGCGGCGAGCGAAACGGGAAGAGCCCAAACCAACAAGCUUGCUUGUUGGGGUUGUAGGACACUCUAUACGGAGUUACAAAGGCACAUGUUAGACGAAUAACCUGGAAAGGUUAAUCAUAGAAGGUAAUAAUCCUGUAGUCGAAAAUGUGUGCUCUCUUGAGUGGAUCCUGAGUACGACGGAGCACGUGAAAUUCCGUCGGAAUCUGGGAGGACCAUCUCCUAAGGCUAAAUACUCUCUAGUGACCGAUAGUGAACCAGUACCGUGAGGGAAAGGUGAAAAGUACCCCGGAAGGGGAGUGAAAGAGAACUUGAAACCGUGUGCUUACAAGUAGUCAGAGCCCGUUAAUGGGUGAUGGCGUGCCUUUUGUAGAAUGAACCGGCGAGUUACGAUCUGAUGCAAGGUUAAGCAGAAAAUGUGGAGCCGUAGCGAAAGCGAGUCUGAAUAGGGCGAAUGAGUAUUUGGUCGUAGACC
This 497-nucleotide non-coding RNA is filed under the name Staphylococcus microti. RNAcentral describes it as "bacterial LSU rRNA". It matches the Rfam family "Bacterial large subunit ribosomal RNA", at positions 216 to 715 of the family's 2925-position model. The record is from RNAcentral. Lineage: Bacteria; Bacillati; Bacillota; Bacilli; Caryophanales; Staphylococcaceae.